UCUUCAUCUUCUUCAGUUUGUCAUUCAAUUCGCCCUAAGAAACCUAGUCCUCUGGCACUCUUCUUCUGCCGCCUGGCGCCUGCAGCUCUCCAAAAAAAAUUCAUUUUAUCGCCUCUCUGAGUCAGGCUCACAUGGAUGCUCAAAUGCAAGACGCCUUUUGUCCGCAAGUUAAAGCAACCCUUCGCCUUGGGUCGGAAACAUAUUGUGUUGAGGUGAACAAGGGAAUUGUAUCUGAGCAAUUGGUCUCGAUGAAGGAGCAAAGCAUGAGUGUACUGAAGGACUUCAUCACGAAGCAUAAUGUUCCAAAUGAUGUACCCGAUGAACCAGAAGAGAUUUCUUCUGAAGACGAAGAUGAAGGUGAAGCUACCGAGAAGCCUCCUGUAAAAUCAAAGAAGCGAAAGUAAUUCGUUUCCUUUCUAGUCUCGAAAGUGCAGGACCGGCCACGAUAUAUUGGUAGAGGAGGAAGUAUUCUUGACAUACAUGUAUGUUUUUACAAAAACAAAUUGCAACAGAAUAUGAUUUGCUAUUAUGUAGAACUGUUCUGCAUUUUGGAACCGAUUUCUGAUCCACCCCUCAUUCCUCUCUACCCCCUGCUAUUGCCUUUUCCUGUAUUCCAUACAGCUCUUGUAUGAUAUUUAAUAUUGUUUAUAAUGAUUGUU
Ipomoea nil (Japanese morning glory) is the source of this 659-nucleotide long non-coding RNA. RefSeq lists it as uncharacterized. The record is from RefSeq and is a predicted model, not a curated record. Lineage: Eukaryota; Viridiplantae; Streptophyta; Magnoliopsida; Solanales; Convolvulaceae. The transcript has 2 exons.